Sphaeroforma arctica JP610 is the source of this 46-nucleotide non-coding RNA. The record is from Rfam. NCBI's taxonomy places the organism in Eukaryota, Ichthyosporea, Ichthyophonida.
AACCUGGUCCUUUUUAGGACCACCCUAUACACAAAGGAAUUAUCAA